This 2080-nucleotide ribosomal RNA is filed under the name Krefftascaris sharpiloi. RNAcentral's name for it is "eukaryotic LSU rRNA". The stretch from base 997 to 2080 matches the Rfam family "Eukaryotic large subunit ribosomal RNA", at positions 1 to 899 of the family's 3401-position model. Lineage: Eukaryota; Metazoa; Nematoda; Chromadorea; Rhabditida; Ascarididae. The record is from RNAcentral.
GCUGUUUCGAGACCUUUCGAGGUGGAGAUUCUUUGGUGGAAACCGCCUUAAUCGCAGUGGCUUGAACCGGGCAAAAGUCGUAACAAGGUUUCCGUAGGUGAACCUGCGGAAGGAUCAUUAUCGAGCUUUUGAAAGCCUCAUAGCGUGCAUACUUCCAUUUGCGCGCACGUGAGCCGCGCGCCGUGUCGCAUGAUUGGUCGCCAGCUGUUUUGGCAGGCAAUGGCUAGCGCAUGGCGUGUGUUUUGAGGGUAUGCGGGUGAUGCGCCGUGCUAGGUGGCGUUUCGCGAGCGCUCGAGUACCCGUUAUUCGUAACAACGGUGUCCAUGUUGGUGUCUACGCUUCAUUGAGCUGCCGCCGGACCGUCGGUAGCGAUGAAAGAUGAAGGUACAGUUCCUCGGUGCGCGGCUGUAAUGCUGCUGCGCCGGGUAGAGCAGACUUAAUGAGCGUUCAGCUUGCGCGCCGCCAACGACCAAAACACAACCACAUCUGUGAGCGUUGCAGGAUGAAAAAGGCGCAUUCGUUUGCGCUUUAAACGUACUACUCUUAGCGGUGGAUCACUUGGCUCGUGGAUCGAUGAAGAACGCAGCUAGCUGCGAUAAAUAGUGCGAAUUGCAGACACAUUGAGCACGAAUACUUUGAACGCGCAUUGCGCCAUCGGGUUCAUUCCCGUUGGCACGUCUGGCUGAGGGUCGUUUUUGGUUCAACACGGAGGUGCGCUGCGUGAGCGCACAGUACGGCCGUGUCCUAGGCGGGCGGCUAUUCGAAGCAGGCACGAUUGGCUCGGAUACCCGGCUUGGAUUGGACGUGGCGCCAGCGAACUCGCUUGGAAAAGCGAGGCGUGCUACGUACGAGGUGAAGCGCGGCUCGGAUGCGGCGGUUCCCCAGCAAGUGUUGAUCGUGGUCCCGCCUUGGGCCAUUCGAUUCAUUCGUUGGGGAGGCGCGCGCGUGCGUGCGUCCGCUCUGCGCUGAUCGUACUAAUGUAGCGUUUGAAAUUUCUGACCUCAGCUCAGUCGUGACUACCCGCUGAAUUUAAGCAUAUAACUAAGCGGAGGAAAAGAAACUAACGAGGAUUCCCCCAGUAACGGCGAGUGAACGGGGAAGAGCCCAGCGCUGAAUCCCUCGGCCAUUGGUCGCUGGGAACUGUAGCGUAUAGGUGCGACUGUCCGCUCGUUUCGCGCACCCAAAGUCCCCUUGAGCGGGGCUACAGUCCAUAGAAGGUGCUAGACCUGUACGGGUGGCGAGGCGUGCGGUAGGUUGUUCCUUGGAGUCGGGUUGCCUGAGAUCGCAGCCCAAAGUUGGUGGUAGAUCUCAUCUAAGGCUAAAUACGGCCACGAGACCGAUAGCAAACAAGUACCGUGAGGGAAAGUUGCAAAGAACUUUGAAGAGAGAGUUCAAGAGGGCGUGAAACCGCUGAGAUUGAAACGGAUAGAGUUGACGGAACUCGAUGGCAUUCAACCGAUCCGAGCGGCGGCCUAGCGGCUCUGCGCCUCGAUGAGGACAGCGACGCGAGUAGCUGCAGCUUGCUGGUGGGUGUAUUUGCCGUCGGUAUGCGCUGAGAGGUUUGCCAGCGUGCGCUGAUGGGCGUGUAGCGGACCAUUCCUUCCGGGCGUGGAACCCUUCGCGCUUUGAGGCGUAUCGUUGGUGAAUUUGAAGUGCUGUCUUCGCUAUGGUGCGUCGUAUGCGGCGCGGCUGUUGCGGCUAUUGGGCGGUCGCGUGCGACUGCUUGUAGUUUGUGACAACCCGCCGUAUUGCUUGAUGCGUCGAGAUGGCAUCUCGGUGUGAACGUUGACCACCUAUCCGACCCGUCUUGAAACACGGACCAAGGAGUCUAGCAUAUGCGCGAGUCACUGGGUGGUAAACCUAAAGGCGUAAUGAAAGUAAACGUUGCCUUGAUGCAACUGAUAUGGGAUCCGUGUGUCCUAACGGUAGCACGGCGCACCAUAGCCCCGUCCUCGUUGCUUGCAACAGGGCGGAGGUAGAGCGCAUACGCUGGUACCCGAAAGAUGGUGAACUAUGCCUGAGCAGGAUGAAGCCAGAGGAAACUCUGGUGGAGGUCCGAAGCGGUUCUGACGUGCAAAUC